Molecule: non-coding RNA, 459 nt
Filed under: Pan troglodytes (chimpanzee)
Lineage: Eukaryota; Metazoa; Chordata; Mammalia; Primates; Hominidae
Source: RNAcentral
UGGCACAGGGAAGAACGCAGUCCAGAAGUCCUUAAAAAAGUACCCAUUGUUGAACCAGGCCCUCUGAAGUUAGGGCCCCACAAGAACAAAAUUCCACAAUCCCAGCAGUGCUACCUAAUGUCGCCUGGUUCCCCGAGGUAAGGCCUCCUGUGUAGAAAAGAGCUCUCACAGCACGCCUGAGACUUCUCUUCCUAGAAAAACCUGCUGCAGGGGAAGGAGCAGACAGGAGAAAAUAAUAGAAUAUACCAUUUAUGCUGGGAAAUGUAUUGAGUCAACUUAAUUGCUCUACAGAAACCCUGGGCUUAAAUACUAACACCAUGAAGGACAAGAGUCUGUGUCUCCCCUCCCAAGAAGACAAAACAUUGCUAACUCAAAAACCACUGGAAAGGUGAGUAAUUUCUUAUCAAAGCCAAGCCAUUCAGUAUUAUUUGUGUGGCUGCCAGUGUUGUUUCAAAUAAG